GCGGAGGGAUCAUUACACAACAAAAUAUGAAGGCCUGGCUUUCGCGGCCGGCUGAAGUAUUUUUUUCACCCAUGUCUUUUGCGCACUUGUUGUUUCCUGGGCGGGUUCGCCCGCCACCAGGACCAAACCAUAAACCUUUUUUUCUUAUGCAGUUUCCAUCAGCGUCAGUAAAAACAAUGUAAUUAUUACAACUUUCAACAACGGAUCUCUUGGUUCUGGCAUCGAUGAAGAACGCAGCGAAAUGCGAUACGUAGUGUGAAUUGCAGAAUUCAGUGAAUCAUCGAAUCUUUGAACGCACAUUGCGCCCUUUGGUAUUCCAAAGGGCAUGCCUGUUCGAGCGUCAUUUGUACCUUCAAGCUUUGCUUGGUGUUGGGCGUUUUUUUGUCUCCCUCUUUCUGGGAGACUCGCCUUAAAACGAUUGGCAGCCGGCCUACUGGUUUCGGAGCGCAGCACAUUUUUUGCGCUUUGUAUCAGGAGAAAAGGACGGUACUCCAUCAAGACUCUACAUUUUUCACUUUUGACCUCGGAUCAGGUAGGGAUACCCGCUGAACUUAAGCAUA
RNAcentral lists this ribosomal RNA (560 nucleotides) under Bipolaris oryzae. RNAcentral's name for it is "eukaryotic LSU rRNA". The stretch from base 190 to 343 matches the Rfam family "5.8S ribosomal RNA". The record is from RNAcentral. Lineage: Eukaryota; Fungi; Ascomycota; Dothideomycetes; Pleosporales; Pleosporaceae.